RNAcentral lists this unclassified non-coding RNA (7063 nucleotides) under Hevea brasiliensis (rubber tree). The record is from RNAcentral. Lineage: Eukaryota; Viridiplantae; Streptophyta; Magnoliopsida; Malpighiales; Euphorbiaceae.
AUAUCAAAGUUAGAACCUUUUGUUACAUGUAGAAACUAGUGUUUCAGAGGGUUACAGUGGGGGGUCUUUUUCUUUUUACUUUUUCUUUUCCUUCAAAACAUAAAGCAUGAUCACGGUACACAUAUAAGCAGAGAGUUAGGAAAGUGAAAGAAAAAGGGACAGUAGCCCCCACAAUCGUAGAAGAUAGAACAUACCAGUGAUUUCGACUGCUCCAUAGUCGAGAAUAAGAUAUCCUCUGUGAUAAUCAGCCUCGGGAGAAGAACUUCUACCCUUGCACAUUUCAGCCAAGCAACAGUAAUAAAGGUAACGUAACAAUGACAAACCCCUUAAACAAUGUUCUUUUGACACCUGGGUCAUUAUAGGGUCAAUGGAGCCAGCUACACAAAUUAAAGCAUAUCUUUCAACAAUGGCCCUUGAACCCAAACGAUGUAGACAUUGAACCGUAAUCAAUUAUACAGCUGCUUAUUUCAUAUCAUUUCAUACAUGUCAUAGAAGAGACCAAAUUUCCAACAAAUGAUUGACUAAGUGAUAGAUCUUGACUCAAUUUCCACAAAGUAAUUCCUGUGAUUCAAAAACCAAAAAAUAUGUGAUUUCAGUUUGCAACAGUACAAAAAAGUUGCACAAUGGUCAUAGUUUACAAAAUCUGACCUAAUUAAAUAAAGAAAGAUUAAUGAUUAGAAAAAGGGGACAAAGAAGAUAGAUUUGUAUAAUUGUUACCAGAUCUCAUUUUAAAAAAUCUACUUGAAUAUUAAACAUUUUAUUUUAUUAAACUAAAUAAGUGUAGAACAAAAGACAAAAGGGAAGUUCAUAAAACGCCCUCUGUUGUGCACAUGUUCCAACACGAUUGUUCAAGUUGCUUCCAGUUGAUGGUUCUGAAAGAAUCUUCUUCAUUCAAGUUUCCUUCUGACCAGUCCUUUGAAGAAGUCAAAACUGCAGCCACAUUAGAAACAAGACUUUGAUUACUUCCAGCAAGACAACAAUCGGAAUAGGGCUAUAUAGAAACAGAACUUCAAAUGUAAAAUCAUGCGGAAAUAAUUGCUUAUUGAUACAAGCAUACUAUAAUUAAGAUUUUCUAGCUGCUUAGCUGAUGACCAGAAAAAUUCUGAAAGCUGUAAGGAAGCUGCCAAUGACCUUCCUCAGCUUCACAUACAAAAUAUUGGCAGCAGGUGGCAGAACAAGGCAUCUAGGUUGUGUGAAAUUAUUUUACUCAUUGAUGCAUAAGGGCCCACUGUAAAUUCUCAGAGAGAAAGAAAAUAGGAGAUCAAUACAUACUUUUCCACGUAUAGCUACACCAAGACACAUCAGAUUCUACGUUAGUUACUCCAAAUUAUUCAAAAGAUAGGAGAAAGCCAUAUAUUAUUAGAGGAGAGAUUUUGGACUGGAUGCUAGACAUAAGCACAUAUACAGACACCCACCUAUAUUUAUCUAUAUGCAGUUAUGCACACAUACAAUUAGGUAAUAAGUACUAGAUAUUGCAAAAUCAAACAUGAUAGUCUUACCUAGAGAACAAACCUUGAGAUAUGAACCAUGAGCGAGUAUGCAUUCUAAAAUAUGUAGUUUUGAAGACAAUGAUAAAAUAAAGGGUGAAAACGUUAGAACACAUCCCCCUUCAAAAAGAAAAAUCUGUGCUUUUGGGCGGAAAAAAGAAGGGAAAAACUGAAAAUGCAAAAACCAGAAAAAUUAUUUGCAGGGUUUCUCAAGAAAGGGACUAAAAAAAACAAUUUACAAGUACAGUCUCCAAGCAUAUAUCCUUCAAUGUUGUCGACAGAGACCAUAACAUCAUAACAUUUAACAAAAUCAGGUGAGUCAUUCAGCCAACAUUAUUGAUCCUAAUCAUUCAUGGAAAGAUGAGGACAAACAAAAAAGCUCAAGUGCUCAUCAAUAAUGAGAAAGCAAGCAAUAAAAUUUUCAAAGAUGAGAUGGAACAUUCAAGAGUUUCUAAAGAUCUUAUAUGGUACUCUUUAAAUGGCAAUUGAUAAAAAUAUAAAGAUGACAAGGUUUAGGUUGAGAAAUGUAAGCCCGAUUUUUUCUCUUACAUUAUCCAUGGAUGAUCAACUAAAAUUUGUAAUUCGACAAAAAAUUCUUCCACAUUUUACCAGUGCAUUUGAAAGCUACACUAAUGAGAUCAAUGACGGCUGGAACUGUGGAAGUUAAUUGCAAUUCCAGGGAAGACAGAAUUAUACAAAGCAAAACGAAUAUCAGAUGUUACAACCUCAGUUAGGCCACUGAUGGAAGCCCCUUUUUGAAGACAAUAAAAAAUCAAUAAAAUGCAUGAGAGUAAUCACCUUUUGUGGUGCUACUUGCUGGCAAUACAGGUCUUUGAGAUGUUCCUCAUGGUGUUGGUAAAUAAAGCUGAAGAUAUGUUCCAGAGCAAAACUAUUUUUUCCAAAUAUCAAAAGUCAUCAUUUUUAAGUUCCAAUAGCUUAUCUUACUAAACACCUAAAAUAUACAUAAGCCCCUGAUAAAGGGUAAAGGGUAAGUAAUGGAAUCUAGCUACAGCCCCAUAGUGAAUCUAGCAUUAUAUACUAGAAGAACUGAUAGUCAACAUUUGAACUGUCUUUUUCCCUCUCUAUGCAGAAAUGAAUAGGUAUAUCGAUUGUGCUCAUAUAAAAUUGUCCAAACUGUGCGCCUCUUGCAUGUUUUGAGCCUUUAAGAAAGAAAAGGGGUAGAAUGACUUUUAUUUGGCAGCACUUAACUUUAGAGUUUGGAUAAUGAGAUCCUUUGCCACUAGCACGGUGGUACUAGUCGUUCCUACAUAACCCAAAAUUGAGGAAUCCAUAUAAACCUUUUUUCCUCCAAGGGAAAAAAAGAAAUUGGCAUGUCAUAGAACCAGGACUUAUUUGUUCAUCACAUGGUCUCUCAAAAUUAAACUGUCCCAGAUUUUUUAUUUGGUAAAUACUCUCAUGCAUAGCUUAGCACUACAAAAACCAGAGUCCCUUCAUAUUCAAUUGGAAACUAUCACAAGACAUCGAAUGCAAUCUUCAACGAGAAAAUAAACUCCACCUAUUGCCAUCAGGAUGAAGCUCGCAAAUUUGAUUGUCGUCGCCAAUAGCGAAUAAAUACCCUGAGGAUGUCAAGCCCUGGAUAGUGACCACAUUCUCCACUACUUGAUCCCCAUUAUUUUCUUGUAUGAUGACUCUCUGCCCACUGUGUAACCAUGUUCUAUGGUACAGCUCCUCAAGAGUUUGGAAUCCUUGAUUUAUGAAAAGAUCGUAGAGAUUUUCAAAUUUGUUAAAAAAAGCUGCAAUAAUUUCUUCUCUUCUUAAUUGGAAAGCAGCAGCAGAUAAUUCUCUUAUUAUUGCAUUCAAGCAUGUCGUUGGUUUCUCAUUAUUGACAUUCAAACCUAUACCAGCACUAACAUUGAACUUCUUUGAUUUAUAUGUUGAAGUGCAUAGGAUGCCACCAACUUUAAGGCCAUUUAGGUAAAGAUCAUUUGGCCAUUUUAUCUUAACAUCAAGAAAUGGCAAGCCUUUUCUGUGACAAACAUCUUUUAUUGCCUCUGUAACAGCAAGGGACACCACGUAUUGCAACAAAGGCACAACUCGCCCAUCCUCCAUUUGAACAGUAAACGAAAACAACAAGCAACCUAAUGGAGAUUCCCACACAUUCUUUGAUCGACCUUAGCAAUCAAUCAAUAAACGAUUACUAACUAGAAAAGCAUGUAGAACCGCCAAUUCACAAACAAAAGAAUUAUAACUCCAAACCUCGUCCCUUAUAUUGAACAUCAGCAACACAAGCUGCGCGCCAAUUGGAAGCUCACAGAAAUUUUUGCCAAAAACCAAAAUAUAACAAAAGCAUUCAAAUAUGCACACAAUACAAGUAAAGGGAAGAUUUCUAUUGGGUGAUACUUGGUGCUCACUGCGAAACGAUGUCGUGAGUCGAAGUUAAUCAGAGACCAAAUGAGCAACCUACCGAAUCGAUUAGUGGAAAGAGAAUUGAAGAACGGCUCCACAUUGAAAGGCUCUUCUUUGUCCAGUUUAGGAAUCUCCGAUUCCAAGAGUAUGGAAACUUCCGUAUUACUAGGGAGUUUAAUAGCACUAUUUUUCUUCAGAGAUUGAACGAUUUCCUUCACUGCAGAUGAUUUUCCAGAUAAUACAAGACUUCAGGUCGUACUGCCGCCGCCGCUAUCCAUGGCAGCCACUGAUCGGCAGAGUUUAUUUCUUCGGUUUUUUUUGAGAGGGAAGUUUUUCUCUUUACCGGGAGUGAGGAACCGAUGCAAGUUAUAGGCACAGCGAUGCUUUAUUUAUUUAUUUUUUUUUUCUCAGAGGCGGUUUUAUAGCCGUAGAUUUUAAGUAUGGGACCCAUCAUACGCAUCGUUCGAUUGAGAUGGCUUAACUUGUACAAUUUUUUGUUACUUCAUAGCAGUGUGCAUUUUGAACUUUCCGGAGGCAGGGCAGAGAGCGCGCCGCUUGCUCGAGUGGCCAUGGAGGAGUUGCAGAGCGCUCUUCAAGAUUGGGGUUUAGCUGUUUCAAAUGUUCCAGAGAAAGGACGGUGUCUUGUCACCAUAAAGGAUCUCUACCCAGGAGAAGUAAUUAUAAGCCAAGAACCUUACGUCUGUGUACCAAACAACUCAGCAACUGAGUCGCGGUGCGAUGGAUGUUUCGCUUCAGGAAACCUCAAGAAGUGCUCAGCUUGUCAAGUUGUGUGGUACUGUGGGAGCAAAUGCCAGAAGUCUGAGUGGAAGUUGCAUCGUCUUGAGUGUGAUGCUCUCUCCAAGCUCGACAAGGACAGGAGGAAGUCUGUUACACCUUCUAUACGUUUGAUGGUGAAACUCUACCUUCGGAGAAAAUUGCAAAGUGAGAAGACUAUCUCGGCCACUGCUACAGACAAUUAUAAUUUGGUGGAGGAGUUGGUGGCUCACAUGAAAGACGUUGAUGAGGAGCAACUGGUACUAUAUGCAAAGAUGGCCAACCUUGUGAACUUGAUUCUUCAGUGGCCUGAUAUCAACAUAAAAGAGAUUGCAGAGAACUUUUCCAAGCUUGCGUGCAAUGCCCAUACCAUUUGUGAUAGUGAACUGAGACCCCUGGGCACAGGACUGUAUCCUGUCGUUUCCAUUAUUAACCACAGCUGCUUACCCAAUGCUGUUUUGGUAUUUGAGGGAAGGCUGGCUGUGGUACGUGCUGUACAACAUAUACCAAGAGGUGCUGAGGUGAGGCAUACUUUUUCUUAGUCAUUGUGUUCUGCAAAUUAACUGAAGAAGUGUAGAGGUUGCAGUUCAUUUGGCCUGGACCUGCUUAUUUGACAAUAAUGGAAAGAGCUUGAUCAUCCUGAAUAUUUUGUCAGAUUUGGUUGGUUGUCUUGUAAAAAGUUAUUAGAUGUAUUCUUCACCAUGGAUCAAUAUCUCAAGAAUUGGUUUUCUUUUUUUGCUCUUCUUUUUAGCAUUUUCCAGGAUUAAACCAACUUUGUUCUGAGUCUCUGUUAUUUGAAAAUAUGAUGUUGUUUGAUAAUAUUGCCGUGUUCUAAAAUUAUAUUGUAGUGUUCAAUGCUAUUUCAGUAUUAUCUUCUUCACAUCAAUUUUAGAAUGAAUUUUUUGGUUAUGUUUUAGGUGAUGAUAAGUUACAUAGAGACUGCUGGAAGUACUAUGACACGGCAAAAAUCUCUCAAACAACAGUAUUUUUUUACUUGCACGUGUCCCUGCUGCAUUAAAGUGGUAAUUCGUAAUUAAAUUUAAUAAGAGACUUUCUUUUGUUGAUUUUUUGCAUGUUUGUCUAACAGUGAAAAUCCAGUGGACAUGUUUUUAUAGAUUAUUCGUCUUGUAGUUUGGGUUUAAGCCCAUUUUCACUCAACCAUCUUGUGCUAAGGGACUCCUCUUGCUGGUUUUUCUUUCUGCUAAAGUUAACUAAAAGUGCAGAUUUAAGCUCAAAAAAUAACAUUGUUUAUUGUGUUCUGCAGAGGGACUGAAUUAACUUGAUUUUAACAUACUUUAUAGUAAGUCUACAUGAUUUCUUAAAGAAAAUCCAUUUAUAUACUUUGACUGUGAAAAUUAGCCUAAGAAGAAGGUUCUCUAUAUAUGCAAUAUACAUGUAGCUACGUGCAAACAUAUAUUAAUUGUCAGUUAAUAAUGGUUAUGUUAUAUUGAAGGGUCAGCAAGAUGAUAUUCGAGAAAGUGCAAUUCUGGAAGGUUACAGAUGCAAAUAUGAUAGAUGCAAUGGUUUCUUGCUUCGUGAUUCUGAUGACAAAGGCUUUGUGUGCCAACAGUGUGGCCUCCUUAGAAGCAAGGAAGAGGUGAAAAAGAUAGCAGCUGAAAUACGAGCAACUUCAGACAAGGCUUCCAAGUCUCUGUCCUCCGGCAAUCUGCAGGAAGCCAUUUCUAUGCAUAAGAUGAUUGAGAAACUUCAACAGAAAUUGUUCCAUCCCUUUUCAAUUAGCUUGAUGCAAACUCGAGAUAAGCUGCUAAAGAUGUUGAUGGAACUGAAAGACUGGAGAGAUGCUCUGUCGUAUUGCAAAUUGACCAUUCCUGUGUAUCAAAGAGUAUAUCCAGAAUUUCAUCCUCUGCUUGGAUUGCAAUAUUAUACUAGUGGAAAACUCGAGUGGUUGCUUGGGAACACGGACGAUGCAAUCAAAUCGCUGACCAAAGCAGUGCACAUACUUCGAAUAACUCAUGGAACAAAUACGCUCUUCGUGAAAGAGCUGAUAAUGAAGUUGGAGGAAGCGCGUGCUGAAGCUUCUUACAAACUUUCAUCUAAAGAUGAUGAGUAGCGAGGUCUGUCAUAUUUGGUAUUGUUAGUGCUAACAUUAGUAUCGCUGCAAGGCAAUGGCCUGAAAAAGGAGACCAUUCUAGGGUUUGAUAUGCCUAGCUAGAUGUCUCAGCAAACGUCAAGCUGGAUUAAAAGGACAUAUUCUUAAGGCUGUUUCUGCUUAAGCCUUGGCAACCCAUCCACAUUUCUUUGAUGACUAUAUAUAUAUAUAUUGGCUGCAAAGUUGAUGAUUUGGUGUUUUGUUAAAUCAGGAUUUUAUUGUACGCUAACAAUUCAUGAAUGUCAGACUUUCAACACUAAUGUGCUCCACAUGAUUUAUCAUUCAACCUCCUAUCCCACAAAUCUUGGAUAUUUCUACCUACGCG